AAGGAUCAUUACCGAGUGAGGGCCCUCUGGGUCCAACCUCCCACCCGUGUUUAUUUUACCUUGUUGCUUCGGCGGGCCCGCCUUAACUGGCCGCCGGGGGGCUCACGCCCCCGGGCCCGCGCCCGCCGAAGACACCCUCGAACUCUGUCUGAAGAUUGAAGUCUGAGUGAAAAUAUAAAUUAUUUAAAACUUUCAACAACGGAUCUCUUGGUUCCGGCAUCGAUGAAGAACGCAGCGAAAUGCGAUACGUAAUGUGAAUUGCAAAUUCAGUGAAUCAUCGAGUCUUUGAACGCACAUUGCGCCCCCUGGUAUUCCGGGGGGCAUGCCUGUCCGAGCGUCAUUGCUGCCCUCAAGCCCGGCUUGUGUGUUGGGCCCCGUCCUCCGAUUUCCGGGGGACGGGCCCGAAAGGCAGCGGCGGCACCGCGUCCGGUCCUCGAGCGUAUGGGGCUUUGUCACCCGCUCUGUAGGCCCGGCCGGCGCUUGCCGAUCAACCCAAAUUUUUAUCCAGGUUGACCUCGGAUCAGGUAGGGAUACCCGCUGAACUUAA
This 547-nucleotide ribosomal RNA is filed under the name Penicillium sp. F09-T9-1. RNAcentral describes it as "eukaryotic LSU rRNA". The stretch from base 188 to 340 matches the Rfam family "5.8S ribosomal RNA". Lineage: Eukaryota; Fungi; Ascomycota; Eurotiomycetes; Eurotiales; Aspergillaceae. The record is from RNAcentral.